GCGAAUAUAAUUUAAUGGUAGAAUGUUAGCCUUCCACGCUAAACAUGCGAGUUCGAUUCUCGUUAUUCGCUCCA
This 74-nucleotide transfer RNA is filed under the name Agathobaculum phage AB434P2. Its description in RNAcentral is "tRNA-Gly". It matches the Rfam family "tRNA". Rfam says of the family: Transfer RNA (tRNA) molecules are approximately 80 nucleotides in length. Their secondary structure includes four short double-helical elements and three loops (D, anti-codon, and T loops). RNAcentral also lists the same sequence under 1 other name. Lineage: Duplodnaviria; Heunggongvirae; Uroviricota; Caudoviricetes. The record is from RNAcentral.